Molecule: ribosomal RNA, 462 nt
Filed under: Triticum aestivum (bread wheat)
Lineage: Eukaryota; Viridiplantae; Streptophyta; Magnoliopsida; Poales; Poaceae
Description: partial small subunit ribosomal RNA
Source: RNAcentral
AUGCAGAUCUUCGUCAAGACCCUCACGGGGAAGACCAUCACCCUCGAGGUCGAGAGCAGCGACACCGUCGACAACGUCAAGGCCAAAAUCCAGGACAAGGAAGGGAUUCCUCCGGACCAGCAGCGUUUGAUAUUUGCUGGCAAGCAGUUGGAGGAUGGACGCACGCUUGCUGACUACAACAUUCAGAAGGAGUCGACUCUUCACUUGGUCCUCAGGCUCAGGGGCGGCACGAUGAUCAAGGUCAAGACUCUCACUGGGAAGGAGAUCGAAAUCGACAUUGAGCCCACCGACACGAUUGACAGGAUCAAGGAGCGCGUUGAGGAGAAAGAAGGCAUUCCUCCUGUGCAGCAAAGGCUGAUUUACGCUGGUAAGCAGCUUGCAGAUGACAAGACUGCCAAGGACUACAACAUCGAAGGUGGCUCGGUCCUCCAUCUUGUCCUUGCUCUGAGGGGUGGUUACUAG